This 944-nucleotide ribosomal RNA is filed under the name Escherichia coli. RNAcentral's name for it is "partial 23S ribosomal RNA". It matches the Rfam family "Bacterial large subunit ribosomal RNA", at positions 246 to 1230 of the family's 2925-position model. Lineage: Bacteria; Pseudomonadati; Pseudomonadota; Gammaproteobacteria; Enterobacterales; Enterobacteriaceae. The record is from RNAcentral.
GCGGCGAGCGAACGGGGAGGAGCCCAGAGCCUGAAUCAGUGUGUGUGUUAGUGGAAGCGUCUGGAAAGGCGCGCGAUACAGGGUGACAGCCCCGUACACAAAAAUGCACAUACUGUGAGCUCGAUGAGUAGGGCGGGACACGUGGUAUCCUGUCUGAAUAUGGGGGGACCAUCCUCCAAGGCUAAAUACUCCUGACUGACCGAUAGUGAACCAGUACCGUGAGGGAAAGGCGAAAAGAACCCCGGCGAGGGGAGUGAAAAAGAACCUGAAACCGUGUACGUACAAGCAGUGGGAGCACGCUUCGGCGUGUGACUGCGUACCUUUUGUAUAAUGGGUCAGCGACUUAUAUUCUGUAGCAAGGUUAACCGAAUAGGGGAGCCGAAGGGAAACCGAGUCUUAACUGGGCGUUAAGUUGCAGGGUAUAGACCCGAAACCCGGUGAUCUAGCCAUGGGCAGGUUGAAGGUUGGGUAACACUAACUGGAGGACCGAACCGACUAAUGUUGAAAAAUUAGCGGAUGACUUGUGGCUGGGGGUGAAAGGCCAAUCAAACCGGGAGAUAGCUGGUUCUCCCCGAAAGCUAUUUAGGUAGCGCCUCGUGAAUUCAUCUCCGGGGGUAGAGCACUGUUUCGGCAAGGGGGUCAUCCCGACUUACCAACCCGAUGCAAACUGCGAAUACCGGAGAAUGUUAUCACGGGAGACACACGGCGGGUGCUAACGUCCGUCGUGAAGAGGGAAACAACCCAGACCGCCAGCUAAGGUCCCAAAGUCAUGGUUAAGUGGGAAACGAUGUGGGAAGGCCCAGACAGCCAGGAUGUUGGCUUAGAAGCAGCCAUCAUUUAAAGAAAGCGUAAUAGCUCACUGGUCGAGUCGGCCUGCGCGGAAGAUGUAACGGGGCUAAACCAUGCACCGAAGCUGCGGCAGCGACACUAUGUGUUGUUGGGUA